RNAcentral lists this ribosomal RNA (523 nucleotides) under uncultured bacterium. RNAcentral describes it as "bacterial SSU rRNA". It matches the Rfam family "Bacterial small subunit ribosomal RNA", at positions 9 to 518 of the family's 1533-position model. The record is from RNAcentral.
GGGUUCGAUUCUGGCUCAGAUUGAACGCUGGCGGCAGGCCUAACACAUGCAAGUCGAAACGGUAACAGGAAGAAGCUUGCUUCUUUGCUGACGAGUGGCGGACGGGUGAGUAAUGUCUGGGAAACUGCCUGAUGGAGGGGGAUAACUACUGGAAACGGUAGCUAAUACCGCAUAACGUCGCAAGACCAAAGAGGGGGACCUUCGGGCCUCUUGCCAUCGGAUGUGCCCAGAUGGGAUUAGCUUGUUGGUGGGGUAACGGCUCACCAAGGCGACGAUCCCUAGCUGGUCUGAGAGGAUGACCAGCCACACUGGAACUGAGACACGGUCCAGACUCCUACGGGAGGCAGCAGUGGGGAAUAUUGCACAAGUGGGCGCAAGCCUGAUGCAGCCAUGCCCGCGUGUAUGAAGAAGGCCUUCGGGUUAGUAAAGUACUUUCAGCGGGGGGAAGGGAGUAAAGUUAAUACCUUUGCUCAUUGACGUUACCCGCAGAAGAAGCACCGGCUAACUCCGUGCCAGCCGCUGC